This 3194-nucleotide long non-coding RNA is filed under the name Sus scrofa (pig). RNAcentral describes it as "lncRNA (ENSSSCG00055026956.1)". The record is from RNAcentral. Lineage: Eukaryota; Metazoa; Chordata; Mammalia; Artiodactyla; Suidae.
UCACAUGAUGGACAUGAUAUAAUGAAACAACAUUGUGGAGAGGAAAGCAUUAGGGGAGCCCACGGCUACAAAAACAAGUGAGUGAGAAGACGUGGGAGGAAGAGAAACUACGCCACCUCUCCUGCAGCUGAGCCGCGCGCAGCAGCAGCCCGGGGGAAGUGGGCGACGCCGGGGGGAAGGGAGACCGGGUCCCCAGCCCCAGCCGGGGGACCCCGCCGCCCACUGCCGAGAGAACAACUUUUAGCCGGCAGCCUCAGCCAGCACUGCACCUGUCUCCGAAGCCUCCAUCGUUUCUCGUGAUGGUCAAGGGGAAAUUCUAGAAGAAUAUGCUCUACAAAAUAUACAUGCGCAUCAUUUUCCCCCUUGCGUCUCACGCUGGAGGAAGGAAAGAGAAAGGGAUUUAAGCAGCAGCGUGUCUUCAGCCCCAAGUUUCCAGGUGAUGCUGAUGCCGAUGUUGCUGGCCAGAGGACUAAAUGUUGAGAACCGUUGGAUUUGAUAAUCUCCUCUACACACCACCAAGCUGCCCUGGAAUGGAACUUCUGCUCAGUUCUUGGAUUGAGGGAUGGAGGAGGAGUUUACUUCAUUCAUUCUCAGGGACUCUUAACUGGUGAGAAGAAUUUAGGAUAUUUUACCAUCUGGAGUUUCUCUGCCUCACUGGUGAUUUAAACUCAAACCUGCCAGUUUAUGCAAGAUGAUAGAAAGUACCCUGUAACAUCUGAGUUGCAAAAAUAUCUGCCUCUGAGAGCUCAGGAGGAUCUGCUUUGUGGGAGCAAAGGUAGUGAGUCAUACCUGGAAGCUUGCGCCUCUUCAUCCAGUCAAGUCUCCUAUGCAACAGUUUAUGCAGCACUUAAAAGAUGAGGAGUUAAGAGGAGAAAAUGGAAAAAAAAAACAACAGAAGUACUUUUAAUGGAACAGAAUAAACCACUGAACAGGUACCAGAAAUUAUUAGGAGUUGGGUACAACAUAAUUAAACGAGUUAAUAUUUGUGAAGUCCUUAGAAGGUUACCUGGCAUGUUUAAAUAACUGCAUACGUGUUUGCUAUUAUUAAGUUCCUUUAAAUGUACCUUAGCCCAGAACAAAUCAGUAGUACAGCCAAGAACUACCCAACAACAACAACAAAAAACCCUUUUCCCCUAAAGCAAGUGUGAACAUCAUUGGUAAAUGCUGUCAUGGUCUCUGUAUGACUUGUUAUAGUGGUCUGAGAAACUUAAUUUCUUAAUCUCUGAGCCCUCUGAGUGUUUGAAUACCCAUUCAUUUUUGGUUUUGAGCACUCAUUCAUGAUGACUUUUAAGUGUCAGAUCAGUUUCAAUUUUUUGGAAUAAAGCAAGCUUCCUUAAAAUUCUCCAAGAGCUUUUCAUGUGGGGAGGUGGCUUCAUUUUCAGGGAGGCGCCGAGGUAGCCUGUGGAUAGUUAGUAAAGACAGAGGUGACAGCAUGAAGAUCCGCACUCACAUUUUCUGAGGGCGCCAGUGAUUACCUGGAAUAAGACGUUUCAACCUGCUGCCCCUGCCCCCGCACUAACUUCCCAUCAUAAAACUGCCGGUGUUACUGAGGGCUACCGACACUUUCAACAAACACUGAUAAGGGGCAAAUUAUGUGCCAAGUAUUGUGCUUGGCCUUGAACGUGUCUCCUCUCUCCUCACCCACCCACCUCUCCGGAUCGGCACCAGCUCCUGCCGCCUUCACCGCGCUGUGGGGAGACCUGGCUCCCCCGGCAUCCGGAGGGAUGCUUUCCGUGCCACCGUCCGUCCGUCUGUCUCUCCGGCUCCUCCCCCUCCGCACCCGAGCACUGCUCAUUCAGGCGGGGGAGGCACGCUGGGAGGCAGGCCCUGUGGUUUGAUACUGCUUUAGACGGCCGUCUUCCCCCAGAUUGCUGUGUCACAGUGUACACAGUUCCUUUAAAUGCCCCGUUGUUUCAUGUUUUGCCGUGUUUCCCCUCUGCGAUCUGGGGAUAUGACCUUGGGAAGUUACUUUUCUGUUCGGAGGUGUUCCGGAAGUGUAACUUGAGAGAGGCGGGCGCUGGUGGUGGGCUCGGUGUGUCAGUGGUUCUCAAACCUUUUUCUUGGAACCCCCAGGAAGUGUCAUGUUAGGACCCCGUGCGCCCACUUCCACGUGUGGAUGUGUGGAUUCCCGACACACCUUUACCGUAUGAGGGCUGCGAUAGAGUUUUCUAGUCUGUCCGAUUUCCUAUCACGUUUUCUUUUCUCCCUCCUCUUUUCUUUGGAGCGCUCCUCAUAACCCACUAGUCAGCUGCGCUUCGGCAGCGCGAGGUAUUUUUGUGCGGUGGUGGGGCACCUGCUUUUUCUUGCCUUUCUCUCCAUUUUCUGUGGUAAUGUGCCUAAGUCUCUUUUAUCCAUAAAUGUGCUCCCCCCCCAACUUGCCAUAACUUAAUUCUUUAUGUGUGAAACUCUUUCCCUAACUUAGCUCCUGUUUUUGUUUUCUCAUGUACCAUUCACUGCUCAAUAUUACAGUGAUUCACAAUAUUUUAGUGACUUCUGUGGAAUGCUAGCAAAAUUCUUGUUGAUUUGAGGCCAUGUAUUUAUAAAGGAAUCAUAAUUACGUACACCUAGGAUUAUUCAGUAUGCUCAACAAAUUUUCGUGGUUGUAAUGUGCAAAUGGUUCUUGUAAUUAAAGAUAAACUAAUAUUCAGCUGUCUUUGAGGAAUAUUUCUAAGGUUUAUAGGCAAUAAAUGAGACAGCAAAUCCUAGUUUUCUGUAUUAAAAAUAUGUCAUUUGAGUAGUCUUAGAAAUUUCUAAAUAUUCUGUUAUUGAAGCCAAGGCAACGUUGUUCUCUUGGUUCUUUGAGUAAUUAAGCCUUCCCAUGUAGUUAUGAAUACAGCAUAUUUGCCAAAAACUUUUAGCCAAAUAUUAUACUAUAGUAUAACAUUAUAUUAUAAUACUUAACCACAUAUUAUAGAUUAAUACAUUUCUACAUUUUACAAUUAUUUUAAAUGUCACAUUAGACGAUUUGAGUUACUUUGUUUUGCAGAAUCUAAGGUUUGAAAAUAUUGAGAAAAGAGAAUAAAGCAGACUUUGACAGCUAGUAGAUGUUAAGGUGUAUUUAUCAAAAUCUUUUGAAAAAAUCAUUAUCUAGGAUUUCGUUUUGAUUUUUCUUUUUUUCCAUUUACUUUCUAAAGCAAUUUUAAAUGAAUCAUAAAGUAUUUUUUCCAGUAAAUAAAUAGAUCAUGUACAAUAAU